This 817-nucleotide long non-coding RNA is filed under the name Malus domestica (apple). RNAcentral describes it as "long non-coding RNA (MDOM_LNC000450)". Lineage: Eukaryota; Viridiplantae; Streptophyta; Magnoliopsida; Rosales; Rosaceae. The record is from RNAcentral.
GAGUCGUACAGGUCACUAUAGGUGACUCCGACUUAUGUGCUAGCAUUGAUUGAUGAGAUAUGGAUGAGUCAUACAGGUCACUAUAGGUGACUCCGACUUAUGUUCUAGCAUUGAUUGAUGAGAUAUGGAUGAGUCGUACAGGUCACUAUAGGACUCCUACUUAUGUACUAGCAUUGAUUUAUUGAGCACAUGAUUAUUUAUAUUGCUCAUGAGAUGCUGUGCCGUGGUAUAUUUAUGGAUUUACCUGUUGAUAUACUUUUGAUUUUACAUCGACACGUGGUAUGAUUUUCUUUUAAACUGUACAGGUAUUACAGCGAGGGGUUAUAACAACUUAGAAGGUUUUUAUUAAAAUUUUAUUUCUAGGGCCACUCACCCUUGCUUUGUUAACAUCCUCUAGGUUUUUUAGCUGAGCUAUCUUAUCGACAAGGAUUCGGGGCAAAUUUUGGUAUUCGAGAUUAUCUUCAAUGGUAUGAUUCUCAAUCCACUCUACUGUACUUUACUUAUGCUCUGAUAUUACGUGUGAAAUGGGUUCAUUUUCUCUCACAACGCACUCUCGUAUUUAGACACUUUUAGAUUUAAAUUUAUUCACAUUUUUUCCACAUCACCAUACUUUAUGGCUUCGUCACCCUCUUGGUGUCGGCCAACACAACUCGAUUUGGAGUCCAAGUGGACUUUUCGAGUUGGGGUGUGUUGUUGGAAAUGUCCCCUAAAACCAAUCAUAUGAUGAUACUUUAUGGACAUUUCACAUGUUAAACUAAUCUAAUUUAAUAUCAAGGGCAAAGAUUAUUGUUUUAAGCCGUCUCAUAUAAAUGUUAUA